Molecule: long non-coding RNA, 577 nt
Organism: Pogoniulus pusillus (Red-fronted tinkerbird)
Lineage: Eukaryota; Metazoa; Chordata; Aves; Piciformes; Lybiidae
Exons: 2
Source: RefSeq, a predicted model, not a curated record
UGUGUUGAUUGUGUCCAUGGAAAUUUAACAUCAGAUUGGGGCACAAUGCUCCAUGAUUCUUACAUGGAAGAAUCUGACAUAGUACGAUCGUCAAUAGCAAUGAACUCAGAGCAGAGACCUCUGCCUCCAAGAACUAGGAGACUCAAAAAUUCAAGGAUGGCUAUUUAAUGGGUGAAAUUAUUCCAGGAGCACAACAGAAGACAGGUACAGAAUGGCUGUCUGUACAUAUUCAUACGAUCUUAGUAUAUCAAGAACUACUUCAUUGCUCCAAAGUUUUGAUCCAAGGUUCACUGCAAUCUAUGCAAAGAUUCCUACUGUCUCCACUUAGGUGUUUUUAGGACACCCAUAGCUCCAGUAUACAUUUGGCCUUUGCACAACAAUUACAUGGUUUAGUCUGUACUUACAUGAUGAUUUUCUUUCUUUUUUUUUUUAGAGAGAAAACAACUGCAGAAACCUGUUUCUAGACUUUCCUAAAGCACUGACUUUUUUUUUUUCAGAUAGAUGGGGCUCAGUGGAUGGUGUGCUCCAGGUCUGUGAUCUGUAACUGAGAAUAAAGAGAGUCUUCUUGUUGACUUAA